Molecule: long non-coding RNA, 1180 nt
Filed under: Nicotiana tabacum (common tobacco)
Lineage: Eukaryota; Viridiplantae; Streptophyta; Magnoliopsida; Solanales; Solanaceae
Description: long non-coding RNA (NTAB_LNC000477)
Source: RNAcentral
UUAGGUUCUUAGUAAUAUCAAAAGAAACUGAAAAUUCUGAACAGCUAAUAACUGAUAAAUGAAGCUAAGAAAACAAGAAGCAGAGAGCGCAGUUCUUUAUAUUAUAUUAAUGUUUUGCAUGAACACAGUUAUAUAUGCAAUUUGCUUUGCAUUCUUGACAUAUCAUUUGGAAAAUGUCUUAAUUAAUUUGGCUUAAUUACCUUCAACUUCGUGAUGUUACUUCUUAGUAGUGGUAGGGAGGAGGAGGAGAAGCGUAAAGAUAGGGGUGGUGUGGUGCUGGAGACUUGUAGACUGGAGUUGGUGGUGGAGGUGACUUGUAAACAGGAGUUGGUGGUGGUGGAGACAUAUAAACUGGUGCAGGAUGGUAUGGUGUUGGUGAAGGAUGGUAUGGCUUCACUGGUGGCGGUGGUGACUUGUAAACUGGUGCAGGAUGAUACGGUGUUGGUGAAGGGUGGUAUGGCUUCUUGGGUGGUGGUGGUGACUUGUAAACGGGAGCUGGUGGUGGUGGCGACUUGUAAACUGGUGUGUGUGGAGGGUAGUAUGGCUUCUUGGGUGGUGGUGGUGACUUGUAAACUGGAGUUGGUGGUGGUGGUGACUUGUAAACCGGGGUGUGUGGAGGGUAGUAUGGCUUCUUGGGUGGUGGUGGCGACUUGUAAACUGGAGUUGGUGGUGGUGGAGACUUAUAAACCGGGGUGUGUGGAGGGUAGUAUGGCUUCUUGGGUGGUGGUGGCGACUUGUAAACUGGAGUCGGUGGUGGUGGAGAUUUGUAAACAGGGGUGUGUGGAGGGUAGUAUGGUUUCUUGGGUGGCGGCGGUGACUUGUAAACCGGAGUUGGUGGUGGUGGCGACUUGUAAACUGGGGUGUGUGGAGGGUAGGAUGGCUUCUUGGGUGGUGGUGGUGACUUGUAAACGGGAGUUGGUGGUGGUGGCGACUUGUAAACCGGGGUGUGUGGAGGAUAGUGUGGCUUCUUGGGUGGUGGUGGUGACUUGUAAACUGGAGUUGGUGGUGGUGGAGAUUUAUAAACGGGUGCAGGAUGAUAUGGUGUUGGUGAAGGGUGGUAUGGCUUCUUAGGUGGCGGUGGAGACUUAUAUACAGGGUGGUGGGGUGGUGAUGGAUAGACAUGCACUGGUGGAAGAGGAGACUUGUAGAGGUAUGGUUUCUUAGGUGGUGGUGGAGAUGA